This 546-nucleotide ribosomal RNA is filed under the name Trichoderma harzianum. RNAcentral describes it as "eukaryotic LSU rRNA". The stretch from base 175 to 328 matches the Rfam family "5.8S ribosomal RNA". Lineage: Eukaryota; Fungi; Ascomycota; Sordariomycetes; Hypocreales; Hypocreaceae. The record is from RNAcentral.
GAACGUUACCAAACUGUUGCCUCGGCGGGAUCUCUGCCCCGGGUGCGUCGCAGCCCCGGACCAAGGCGCCCGCCGGAGGACCAACCAAAACUCUUAUUGUAUACCCCCUCGCGGGUUUUUUUUAUAAUCUGAGCCUUCUCGGCGCCUCUCGUAGGCGUUUCGAAAAUGAAUCAAAACUUUCAACAACGGAUCUCUUGGUUCUGGCAUCGAUGAAGAACGCAGCGAAAUGCGAUAAGUAAUGUGAAUUGCAGAAUUCAGUGAAUCAUCGAAUCUUUGAACGCACAUUGCGCCCGCCAGUAUUCUGGCGGGCAUGCCUGUCCGAGCGUCAUUUCAACCCUCGAACCCCUCCGGGGGGUCGGCGUUGGGGAUCGGCCCUGCCUUGGCGGUGGCCGUCUCCGAAAUACAGUGGCGGUCUCGCCGCAGCCUCUCCUGCGCAGUAGUUUGCACACUCGCAUCGGGAGCGCGGCGCGUCCACAGCCGUUAAACACCCAACUUCUGAAAUGUUGACCUCGGAUCAGGUAGGAAUACCCGCUGAACUUAAGCAUA